RNAcentral lists this ribosomal RNA (791 nucleotides) under uncultured Sphingobacterium sp. RNAcentral's name for it is "bacterial SSU rRNA". It matches the Rfam family "Bacterial small subunit ribosomal RNA", at positions 108 to 900 of the family's 1533-position model. The record is from RNAcentral. Lineage: Bacteria; Pseudomonadati; Bacteroidota; Sphingobacteriia; Sphingobacteriales; Sphingobacteriaceae.
GCGUAACACGUAUGUAACCUACCUUUGUCAGGGGGAUAGCCUCUCGAAAGAGAGAUUAAGACCGCAUAACAUCAUUUAAUGGCAUCAUUGAAUGAUCAAAUAUUUAUAGGACAAAGAUGGGCAUGCGGAACAUUAGCUAGUUGGUGUGGUAACGGCAUACCUAGGCUACGAUGUUUAGGGGAUCUGAGAGGAUGGCCCCCCACACUGGUACUGAGACACGGACCAGACUCCUACGGGAGGCAGCAGUAAGGAAUAUUGGUCAAUGGACGGAAGUCUGAACCAGCCAUGCCGCGUGCAGGAAGACGGCCCUAUGGGUUGUAAACUGCUUUUGCAGGGGAAUAAACCCCCGAUCGUGAUCGGGGCUGAAUGUACUCUGAGAAUAAGGAUCGGCUAACUCCGUGCCAGCAGCCGCGGUAAUACGGAGGAUCCAAGCGUUAUCCGGAUUUAUUGGGUUUAAAGGGUGCGUAGGUGGUUUACUAAGUCAGGGGUGAAAGACGGCAGCUUAACUGUCGCAGUGCCUUUGAUACUGAUGAACUUGAAUGAACUAGAGGUAGGCGGAAUGUGACAAGUAGCGGUGAAAUGCAUAGAUAUGUCACAGAACACCAAUUGCGAAGGCAGCUUACUAUGGUUUGAUUGACACUGAGGCACGAAAGCGUGGGGAUCAAACAGGAUUAGAUACCCUGGUAGUCCACGCCCUAAACGAUGAAUACUCGAUGUUGGCGAUAUACGGUCAGCGUCUAAGCGAAAGCGUUAAGUAUUCCACCUGGGGAGUACGCCCGCAAGGGUGAAAC